RNAcentral lists this ribosomal RNA (256 nucleotides) under uncultured bacterium. Its description in RNAcentral is "partial 16S ribosomal RNA". It matches the Rfam family "Bacterial small subunit ribosomal RNA", at positions 521 to 776 of the family's 1533-position model. The record is from RNAcentral.
UAAUACGUAGGUGGCAAGCGUUGUCCGGAUUUAUUGGGUUUAAAGGGUGCGUAGGCGGUCUGUUAAGUCAGUGGUGAAAUACUUCAGCUCAACUGGAGAGGUGCCAUUGAUACUGGCGGACUUGAGUACUGAUGAGGUAGGCGGAAUGGACGGUGUAGCGGUGAAAUGCUUAGAUAUCGUCCAGAACACCGAUAGCGAAGGCAGCUUACUAAAGAGUAACUGACGCUGAGGCACGAAAGUGUGGGGAUCAAACAGG